GCCGCGGUAGCUCAGCUGGUUAGAGCGCUAGACUCAUAAUCUAGAGGUCGGGUGUUCAAAUCUCCCCCGCGGCA
Molecule: transfer RNA, 74 nt
Filed under: Microcaldota archaeon
Lineage: Archaea; Nanobdellati; Microcaldota
Description: tRNA-Met
Rfam family: tRNA
About the family: Transfer RNA (tRNA) molecules are approximately 80 nucleotides in length. Their secondary structure includes four short double-helical elements and three loops (D, anti-codon, and T loops). Further hydrogen bonds mediate the characteristic L-shaped molecular structure. tRNAs have two regions of fundamental functional importance: the anti-codon, which is responsible for specific mRNA codon recognition, and the 3' end, to which the tRNAs corresponding amino acid is attached (by aminoacyl-tRNA synthetases). tRNAs cope with the degeneracy of the genetic code in two manners: having more than one tRNA (with a specific anti-codon) for a particular amino acid; and 'wobble' base-pairing, i.e. permitting non-standard base-pairing at the 3rd anti-codon position.
Source: RNAcentral